UUGAACGCUGGCGGAAUGCUUUACACAUGCAAGUCGCGCGGCAGCGCGGCCUUCGGGCUGGCGGCGAGCGGCGAACGGGUGAGUAAUGCAUCGGAACAUGCCCAGUCGUGGGGGAUAACACUUCGAAAGAAGUGCUAAUACCGCAUACGUCCUGAGGGGGAAAGCGGGGGAUCGCAAGACCUCGCGCGAUUGGAGUGGCCGAUGUCAGAUUAGCUAGUUGGUGGGGUAAAGGCCUACCAAGGCGACGAUCUGUAGCUGGUCUGAGAGGAUGAUCAGCCACACUGGGACUGAGACACGGCCCAGACUCCUACGGGAGGCAGCAGUGGGGAAUUUUGGACGAUGGGGGCAACCCUGAUCCAGCCAUUCCGCGUGAGUGAAGAAGGCCUUCGGGUUGUAAAGCUCUGUCGGCAGGAACGAAACGGUGGGCUCUAACAUAGUCCGCUAAUGACGGUACCUGAAGAAGAAGCACCGGCUAACUACGUG
Molecule: ribosomal RNA, 483 nt
Filed under: uncultured bacterium
Lineage: Bacteria
Description: partial 16S ribosomal RNA
Rfam family: Bacterial small subunit ribosomal RNA
Source: RNAcentral